This is a long non-coding RNA of Tachysurus vachellii, 281 nucleotides long. RefSeq lists it as uncharacterized. Lineage: Eukaryota; Metazoa; Chordata; Actinopteri; Siluriformes; Bagridae. The transcript has 3 exons. The record is from RefSeq and is a predicted model, not a curated record.
GUCAUCUCGGACACCGUGGUUGCAGGAAGGGUGAUACCUCGCCGCCUUAAACCCAGUCAGAGGAAGAUUAAUGUGAUCGUGUGUGCUCCCAUACAACAUGGCUCACAUCUGCUGACAUGGUCAAAAAAGACCAAGGUUCAGAUUUCAAAGACUCAAACUUCAGAAUCUGACUUUCAGAACCCCUGCUGUUAACAAUUCCCAUUACUCCAAAGAUCCCAGACAUGACGAUGAAGACAUGAAAUGAUAAGUAUAAAUGCAUUCAUUAGAAUAGUCAGAACCUA